GAUCACUGCUGUUCCAAAAUACGAUGCUGUAGCAAUGCUGGCAGUAAUGCAGUAAUAUUAGAACAGUUGUGACAGUGUACAUACUGUCAUGACGUCACAUUUACUGCCAGUAAAAACGGAAUACAACCUGAGUAUCAAAUUGUAAAUGGAAAGCGACGUGUGUCCGUCUGUAUCCAAAGUGUUCUCUAAAAGGAAAGCAGCCUAGGUUAAGGGCGUCGAUCUACAAUAUCUACGAUGUUGGAAGUUAUACAAAUCUCGAAUGGAAUCAAUUAUCAUUAACAGUAUUUUCCCAAGCCUGGGACCUCAUCACACAAGAGAGGAGGAAGGAGGAGGGAUAGAGGAGUAACACCUCUAUAAAAAAUCAGGGUUCACCUGGCCCGGGUGAUAGCACCCUGUAAGGGCCCCUACCUAGGGAACAGGCAAGGCUCAGAGAGGCGAGGGACUUACAAGACUCACUCUGUAUGCACGCGAAAAUUUUUACAUAAAGGGAAAUGGAUAAAAACAAGGAUAUAUAAGGAUACCUGGGUCACAACUUUCUUCGCCGCUACUUUCGUUUGAGCAAACUUUGCGAGACUUGACCUGACUUGAUUUGUUUGUGCUUACUUUUUUGGCCGCAAAUUUUGGUGCCAUAUUAACAAUAUUUUCGUCUGCCGUCGACCACUCUACCGAAUCUCGCUCCGCUUGUUUCGCAGUAGCAUAAUUAUCUACAUAAUUAUAUAAUAAGGUAUAAAAUGUUAACAACAAUAAAGUAAUAGUAACUGGGCUGUCUCCAUACAGAAAUUCAAUAUUGUAAGGUAGCGAUAAGAAAUCAAUGUAAUUACGUGUAAUAAACAAAUAUUGAAUUUCUCUAUGGAGACAGUCCAGUAUGGCAAGCCAUUUUACUUUUUAAUAGCAUAAUA
Long non-coding RNA from Solenopsis invicta (red fire ant), 899 nucleotides. RefSeq lists it as uncharacterized. NCBI's taxonomy places the organism in Eukaryota, Metazoa, Arthropoda, Insecta, Hymenoptera, Formicidae. The transcript is spliced from 3 exons. The record is from RefSeq and is a predicted model, not a curated record.